AAGGAUCAUUAAAGAAAUUUAAUAAUCUGGGAGACAAGUUCUGUUUUAAGAGGGAGCUUAGUGAAUGUAGAUGCAUUGAGACCAGCGCUUAAUUGCGCGGUCUGUUUGCGGUGCUACAGGAUCUGUGCUUAUUCCAAACCUUUUUUUACAAGAGUGUCUUUCUAAAUUUACACACUGUGGAGUAUUUUCUACUUUUACAUUUUUAUUUUGGGACUGCUUUCGAGUGUCCCAAAAGACAAACACAAACAAUUUUGUAAUAUUAUUACUUAGUCAUGCAACUGUUUUAUUACAGAAACCAAAAUAUUCAAAACUUUCAACAACGGAUCUCUUGGUUCUCGCAUCGAUGAAGAACGCAGCGAAAUGCGAUACGUAAUGUGAAUUGCAGAAUUCCGUGAAUCAUCGAAUCUUUGAACGCACAUUGCGCCCCUUGGUAUUCCAGGGGGCAUGCCUGUUUGAGCGUCAUUUCCUUCUCAAAUAGAAAUAUUUGGUUGUGAGUGACACUCUCUCGAGUUAGCUUGAAAUUGUUGGCCGUUUAGUGUCAUGAUUGCAGUUAAUUUUGUUCUAUGGAAAUAGGAUUUUGUUAAUUUGUCGUAUUAGGUUUUACCAACUCGAUGAAGAAAUCUUAUUAACGCAGGAUAGAUUAGUUGUGAGGGCACGGCAAACAGUACUCUUUAAGUUUGACCUCAAA
This 688-nucleotide ribosomal RNA is filed under the name Kazachstania psychrophila. Its description in RNAcentral is "eukaryotic LSU rRNA". The stretch from base 309 to 462 matches the Rfam family "5.8S ribosomal RNA". Lineage: Eukaryota; Fungi; Ascomycota; Saccharomycetes; Saccharomycetales; Saccharomycetaceae. The record is from RNAcentral.